UACAGAGGGUGCGAGCGUUGUCCGGAAUCACUGGGCGUAAAGGGCGCGUAGGUGGUGGCUUAAGCGUGCGGUGAAAGCUCGGGGCUCAACCCCGAGUCGGCCGUGCGAACUGGGCUCACUGGAGCAUAGUAGAGGCAGGUGGAAUUCCGGGUGUAGCGGUGGAAUGCGUAGAGAUCGGGAAGAACAUCAGUGGCGAAGGCGACUUUCUGGCCUGUUCUUGACGCUGAGGCGCGAAAGCUAGGGGAGCAAACGGG
Molecule: ribosomal RNA, 254 nt
Filed under: uncultured bacterium
Lineage: Bacteria
Description: partial 16S ribosomal RNA
Rfam family: Bacterial small subunit ribosomal RNA
Source: RNAcentral